CCGAACUGAGAUCGAGUUUGACAGGAUUAGCUCCCCCUCGCGGGUUGGCAACCCAUUGUCUCGACCAUUGUAGCGUGUGUGUAGCCCAGGACGUAAGGGCCGUGCUGACUUGACGUCAUCCCCACCUUCCUCCACGUUUAGCGUGGCAGUCUCGCCGGACAUCCUAACCGACGACAGGGGUUGCGCUCGUUGCNNRGGACUUAACCCAACACCUCACGGCACGAGCUGACNACAGCCCGAA
RNAcentral lists this ribosomal RNA (241 nucleotides) under uncultured bacterium. Its description in RNAcentral is "partial 16S ribosomal RNA". The record is from RNAcentral.